CUACGGGGGGCUGCAGUGGGGAAUUUUGGACAAUGGGCGCAAGCCUGAUCCAGCCAUGCCGCGUGAGUGAAGAAGGCCUUCGGGUUGUAAAGCUCUUUCAGGUGGGAAGAAACGGUUAAUGUUAAUAGCAUUGACUACUGACGGUACCACCAGAAGAAGCACCGGCUAACUACGUGCCAGCAGCCGCGGUAAUACGUAGGGUGCGAGCGUUAAUCGGAAUUACUGGGCGUAAAGGGUGCGCAGGCGGUUUUGUAAGCCAGAUGUGAAAUCCCCGGGCUCAACCUGGGAACUGCAUUUGGGACUGCAAGGCUAGAGUACGGCAGAGGGGGGUAGAAUUCCACGUGUAGCAGUGAAAUGCGUAGAUAUGUGGAGGAAUACCGAUGGCGAAGGCAGCCCCCUGGGUCGAUACUGACGCUCAGGCACGAAAGCGUGGGGAGCAAACAGGAUUAGAUACCCUAGUAGUC
Molecule: ribosomal RNA, 464 nt
Filed under: uncultured bacterium
Lineage: Bacteria
Description: partial 16S ribosomal RNA
Rfam family: Bacterial small subunit ribosomal RNA
Source: RNAcentral